RNAcentral lists this ribosomal RNA (250 nucleotides) under uncultured bacterium. RNAcentral's name for it is "partial 16S ribosomal RNA". It matches the Rfam family "Bacterial small subunit ribosomal RNA", at positions 523 to 769 of the family's 1533-position model. The record is from RNAcentral.
AUACGAAGGGGGCUAGCGUUGUUCGGAAUUACUGGGCGUAAACCCGCGCACGUAGGCGGAUAUUUAAGUCAGGGGUGAAAUCCCGCAGCUCAACUGCGGAACUGCCUUUGAUACUGGGUAUCUCGAGUAUGGAAGAGGUGAGUGGAAUUCCGAGUGUAGAGGUGAAAUUCGUAGAUAUUCGGAGGAACACCAGUGGCGAAGGCGGCUCACUGGUCCAUUACUGACGCUGAGGUGCGAAAGCGUGGGGAGC